This 2376-nucleotide long non-coding RNA is filed under the name Homo sapiens (human). RNAcentral's name for it is "non-protein coding lnc-GINS1-13:1". Lineage: Eukaryota; Metazoa; Chordata; Mammalia; Primates; Hominidae. The record is from RNAcentral.
CGGGGACCGCGAGGGCAAGGGCACCUGGGAGCCCGCAGAGGGGCGGCUGAGGGAGAAACCUCAGGCAUGGCCGGGCCACCAGGAAAACACGGCCGCGGGAUCCCACCGCCACAGACACGAGGGCGGUCCCGCGGCGCCCCGCCUGGGACGCCGGAAGGCCCUCGGCACCCACCAAGACCUGCCUCACGAGCCCCUGGUCCCGCCACCGGGGCCCCGAAGCGACCACAGCCACAAACUCAACGCCAGGGCCACAUCGCUCGUGAUUCUCGUCCAUCCUCCGACCCGGUCCCGCUCCGGGAGACCGGCGCGCCCCCACCGUGGGACGCUUUCCCAGGGCCAGGCGGCCCGACCACGUGCCACGCAAACGCCGUCGUCCGCACCGGUCGCGACUCGGCAAGGGAGCGGGCGGAGAGCUGACUCGCGGCGGAGGGGGGUCACUCGCCGGACGGAACGCUGCGCGCAGCCAUCGCUCGCUGUCAGCCGCGUCCCAACCCGCUAGGACGCUGGGCCCUGCCGGCGGGAUCCUCCCCUUACUCGGAAAGGGGAGGCGCCGGCCACAGUAGGCGACGAGCCGCGCUCGGCCACCACCGCGGUGGCCGGCGGAACCCUCGCUCUCCCCCCGUCACCCCGUCGAGGGGGAAGCUGAGGAGGGUUCCUCUGCAAGCGAGUCGCUACUGCAGCGCUACCAUAACGGAGAGAGAGACAGAGGCGGCAGGCCGGGGGAUCCCGUACCCCAAGGCACACCUCUUGGAUCGCUAGAGAAGGCUUUCUCACCGAGGAUGGGUCACACUCCCCACCCGCCAGCCGCCCCUCGUGGGGCCCGAGGGGCCCGCAGAGGCGCUCAGGGAGGCCUGGGGAAGGGAGGGGGCCUGUGGUACCAGGAAAAACCUGCGUGCGGCAACCUUGAGCGUUCGCGGUCAGGGCGGGGACCGGCAGGUGCGAGCGUGAGCGCAACUCCACAAGCCCCCGCCUCCCACCCCCCCCCCCACCCCGUCCACCCGCCUCUUUUCUUCAGAGGCAAAGCACCUCCGAGUAAACCCACACACGACCGGUCGGAGGCAGAACGGUAGCCCCUCGGCGGCCGGCCGGCGCACGCGUCACCAGCCCAAGCCCACCGCGAUCGCUCACAGGGCCCGUGCGCACCCGCCAGAGGGGAGCACCGGACGUGCGCUCGCCGGACCAGGCGGGCGCCCUUCCCCGCGUGGGAGGGGCGCGUCUCGUCUCACUCAACCGCCUCGAACCCCACACCGACGAGCUCCCUCAGGACCCACGCGCGGACACCGAGGCGCCGACCGGAGGAGGGGGCGCUGGGGGUGGGAACGACACACCACCGCUCGGCCUCGGGAACCUGAGGGACAACCCGGAGCGCUCCAGGAGCACCGCAAAGGCCCAGGGGGAGCCAACGCUCGCGCAAACUCCCCGGGAGGGCAGCACGACGGGCCGGCGGGACAGCACCCCCACCGCUGCGGAGGGGGGCCGCCCGCAAGUCGACAACCACAGGAGGCGAGAGCGAGGGGUGCCUGCCGCGUCAGAGGACCCCCCGACCCACCCCGCGAGGCAGAAGGCGGGGGCGGGACAGCGAGGUCAGGCCGGGUUCCGCACCCCAUGCCUUCCCAACGCACCACCCGCAGGCGAGGAAGAGGAGAGACAAGGGGCCCCCGCGGGCGGGACGAGAAGAAGGGUCCCAUUCGCCACGAAUGUCCGCCCCUCGCCCGUCGCGGCUCGGACACGGCCAGGGAGAGCAUGACAUCACCAUAUUCUAUUCUUACAAGAGUGCUGCCACGUAAGUGUCAAUGAAUGUUUGUGAAAUAAAUGAGGGACUAAAGGAGUGAUCGAACAAAUAAAAAUAAGUUAUCUGUGUGUAUUGUAUGUGUGAAUAAGAUUUUGAGUUUGGCCAAGGCAGUUAAUCACAUAUUAACAACUCUUUAGAUACAUAAGGUUUAUAGCAAUGAGGUACAAAAUUGGUUCAACACCAAAUUCUAAGAUGAAACAAGGUUUAUGUUCAGAAAUAUAGUGUUACUUUUUCUAAUAUCAUUUGCCCUCCAACUAUCAGCAUGACACAUGCAAACCAUUGAUACGUGUUUUUUUUUUUUGUAUUGAAGAUUCCACAUGAAGAAAAAUUAUUAUAUUUCCAAUAGGAAGUCCUCUUCUAAAUGACAACAAAUCUGAGGGUGAACACAUUUGUUAAAAAGAGAGAGAUUAAAAAGUUAAGAUGCUGUUUGUACAGUAUAUAACUGAACAAAGUUGUAUCUAGCAAUUUGACAAGAAAGGUAAAACAGAAUAUUAACCUCAGCACACAAGUUUAGCUAAUGAUCUGGAACGGGGAGUUGUGAGUAGAGAGGAGGACAAAGAUGAAAGACAACCAUUUAUCCCAAG